This 444-nucleotide ribosomal RNA is filed under the name uncultured bacterium. RNAcentral's name for it is "partial 16S ribosomal RNA". It matches the Rfam family "Bacterial small subunit ribosomal RNA", at positions 338 to 795 of the family's 1533-position model. The record is from RNAcentral.
CCUACGGGUGGCAGCAGUGAGGAAUAUUGGUCAAUGGACGCAAGUCUGAACCAGCCAUGCCGCGUGCAGGAAGACGGCUCUAUGAGUUGUAAACUUCUUUUGUCAGGGACGAAGAAAGUGACGGUACCUGACGAAUAAGCCACGGCUAACUACGUGCCAGCAGCCGCGGUAAUACGUAGGUGGCAAGCGUUAUCCGGAUUUACUGGGUGUAAAGGGCGUGUAGGCGGGACUGCAAGUCAGAUGUGAAAUUCCAGGGCUCAACCCUGGAACUGCAUUUGAAACUGUAGUUCUUGAGUGAUGGAGAGGCAGGCGGAAUUCCGUGUGUAGCGGUGAAAUGCGUAGAUAUACGGAGGAACACCAGUGGCGAAGGCGGCCUGCUGGACAUUAACUGACGCUGAGGCGCGAAAGCGUGGGGAGCAAACAGGAUUAGAUACCCUUGUAGUC